Molecule: ribosomal RNA, 468 nt
Filed under: uncultured bacterium
Lineage: Bacteria
Description: partial 16S ribosomal RNA
Rfam family: Bacterial small subunit ribosomal RNA
Source: RNAcentral
GAUGAACGCUGGCGGCGUGCUUAACACAUGCAAGUCGAACGGAAAGGCCCUGCUUUUGUGGGGUGCUCGAGUGGCGAACGGGUGAGUAACACGUGAGUAACCUGCCCUUGACUUUGGGAUAACUUCAGGAAACUGGGGCUAAUACCGGAUAGGAGCUCCUGCUGCAUGGUGGGGGUUGGAAAGUUUCGGCGGUUGGGGAUGGACUCGCGGCUUAUCAGCUUGUUGGUGGGGUAGUGGCUUACCAAGGCUUUGACGGGUAGCCGGCCUGAGAGGGGGACCGGCCACAUGGGGACUGAGAUACGGCGCAGACUCCUACGGGAGGCAGCAGUGGAGAAUAUUGCACAAUAGGCGGAAGCCUGAUGCAGCAGCGCCGCGUGCGUGAUGACGGCCUUCGGGUUAUAAACCGCUUUCGCCUGUGACGAAGCGUGAGUGACGGUAAUGGGUAAAGAAGCACCGGCUAACUACGUG